UAAGUACUCCCUCCAUUCCGAAUUAAUUUUCGCAGGUAUGGAUGUAUCUAGAUGUAGUUUAGUUCUAGAUACAUCCAUUUCUGCGACGAGUAAUUUGGAACGGAGGGAGUAGUAC
Molecule: non-coding RNA, 115 nt
Organism: Triticum aestivum (bread wheat)
Lineage: Eukaryota; Viridiplantae; Streptophyta; Magnoliopsida; Poales; Poaceae
Source: Rfam